CACAUGCAAGUCGAACGCUUCAGCAAUGAAGAGUGGCAGACGGGUGAGUAACGCGUGGGAACCUUCCCAGUGGUACGGAAUAGCCCAGGGAAACUUGGGGUAAUACCGUAUAAGCCCUUAGGGGGAAAGAUUUAUCGCCAUUGGAUGGGCCCGCGUCGGAUUAGCUUGUUGGUGAGGUAAAAGCUCACCAAGGCGACGAUCAGCCACACUGGGACUGAGACACGGCCCAGACUCCUACGGGAGGCAGCAGUGGGGAAUAUUGGACAAUGGGCGCAAGCCUGAUCCAGCCAUGCCGCGUGAGUGACGAAGGCCUUAGGGUUGUAAAGCUCUUUUGGCGGGGACGAUAAUGACGGUACCCGCAGAAUAAGCUCCGGCUAACUUCGUGCCAGCAGCCGCGGUAAUACGAAGGGAGCUAGCGUUGUUCGGAAUUACUGGGCGUAAAGCGCACGUAGGCGGAUUUGUUAGUCAGGGGUGAAAUCCCGGGGCCCAACCUCGGAACUGCCUUUGAUACUGCAAGUCUGGAGUCCGGAAGAGGUGGGUGGAAUUCCUAGUGUAGAGGUGAAAUUCGUAGAUAUUAGGAAGAACACCGGUGGCGAAGGCGGCCCACUGGUCCGGUACUGA
Molecule: ribosomal RNA, 621 nt
Filed under: uncultured bacterium
Lineage: Bacteria
Description: bacterial SSU rRNA
Rfam family: Bacterial small subunit ribosomal RNA
Source: RNAcentral